Molecule: unclassified non-coding RNA, 175 nt
Filed under: uncultured Cladophialophora
Lineage: Eukaryota; Fungi; Ascomycota; Eurotiomycetes; Chaetothyriales; Herpotrichiellaceae
Description: sequence contains ITS2
Source: RNAcentral
UCACCCCUCAAGCCCUCGGCUUGGUGUUGGACGGCUUGGUCGUGGAAAUCCCGACCCCUCCUAAAGACAAUGACGGCGGCCUGUGGCACCCCCGGUACACUGAGCUUUUUACUGAGCACGUAUCGGACAAGGGCACCCGGGACCCGGUCCUCUCCUUUCACAAGGAAACUUCUAU